This 84-nucleotide transfer RNA is filed under the name Microcaldota archaeon. RNAcentral describes it as "tRNA-Ser". It matches the Rfam family "tRNA". From Rfam's summary of the family: Transfer RNA (tRNA) molecules are approximately 80 nucleotides in length. Their secondary structure includes four short double-helical elements and three loops (D, anti-codon, and T loops). The record is from RNAcentral. Lineage: Archaea; Nanobdellati; Microcaldota.
GCCGGGGUGGCGGAAUCCGGUAACGCGCCGGUCUCGAGAACCGGUUUCCUUCGGGAAUUUAGGGUUCAAAUCCCUACCCCGGCG